Molecule: ribosomal RNA, 483 nt
Filed under: uncultured bacterium
Lineage: Bacteria
Description: partial 16S ribosomal RNA
Rfam family: Bacterial small subunit ribosomal RNA
Source: RNAcentral
GACGAACGCUGGCGGCGUGCUUAACACAUGCAAGUCGAACGAUGAUCAGGAGCUUGCUCCUGUGAUUAGUGGCGAACGGGUGAGUAACACGUGAGUAACCUGCCCCUGACUCUGGGAUAAGCGUCGGAAACGACGUCUAAUACUGGAUACGACUGCCGGCCGCAUGGUCUGGUGGUGCAAAGAUUUUUUGGUUGGGGAUGGACUCGCGGCCUAUCAGCUUGUUGGUGAGGUAAUGGCUCACCAAGGCGACGACGGGUAGCCGGCCUGAGAGGGUGACCGGCCACACUGGGACUGAGACACGGCCCAGACUCCUACGGGAGGCAGCAGUGGGGAAUAUUGCACAAUGGGCGAAAGCCUGAUGCAGCAACGCCGCGUGAGGGAUGACGGCCUUCGGGUUGUAAACCUCUUUUAGUAGGGAAGAAGCGAAAGUGACGGUACCUGCAGAAAAAGCACCGGCUAACUACGUGCCAGCCGCCGCAGUAA